CAGUCGCCGCGGGAAUACGAAGGGUGCAAGCGUUAAUCAGAAUUACUGGGCGUAAAGCGUGCGUAGGCGGUUUGUUAAGUCUGCUGUGAAAUCCCCGGGCUCAACCUGGGAAUGGCAGUGGAUACUGGCUCGCUAGAGUGUGUCAGAGGAUGGUGGAAUUCCCGGUGUAGCGGUGAAAUGCGUAGAGAUCGGGAGGAACAUCAGUGGCGAAGGCGGCCAUCUGGGACAACACUGACGCUGAGGCACGAAAGCGUGGGGAGCAAACAGGAUUAGAUACCCCCGUAGUCCCUGUCUCUUAUAC
RNAcentral lists this ribosomal RNA (301 nucleotides) under uncultured bacterium. RNAcentral's name for it is "partial 16S ribosomal RNA". It matches the Rfam family "Bacterial small subunit ribosomal RNA", at positions 509 to 807 of the family's 1533-position model. The record is from RNAcentral.